UACGUAGGGUCCGAGCGUUGUCCGGAGUUACUGGGCGUAAAGCGCGCGCAGGCGGCGGUGUAAGCAUGGCGUGAAAGCCCCUGGCUUAACCAGGGAGGGUCGUCGUGGACUGCACCGCUUGAGGGCGGUAGGGGCUGGUGGAAUGCCUGGUGUAGUGGUGAAAUGCGUAGAGAUCAGGCGGAACACCCGUGGCGAAGGCGGCCAGCUGGGCCGUCCCUGACGCUGAGGCGCGAAAGCUAGGGGAGCAAACAGG
RNAcentral lists this ribosomal RNA (253 nucleotides) under uncultured bacterium. RNAcentral describes it as "partial 16S ribosomal RNA". It matches the Rfam family "Bacterial small subunit ribosomal RNA", at positions 524 to 776 of the family's 1533-position model. The record is from RNAcentral.